RNAcentral lists this ribosomal RNA (489 nucleotides) under Staphylococcus aureus. RNAcentral describes it as "bacterial SSU rRNA". It matches the Rfam family "Bacterial small subunit ribosomal RNA", at positions 1 to 472 of the family's 1533-position model. Lineage: Bacteria; Bacillati; Bacillota; Bacilli; Caryophanales; Staphylococcaceae. The record is from RNAcentral. RNAcentral also lists the same sequence under 5 other names.
UUUAUGGAGAGUUUGAUCCUGGCUCAGGAUGAACGCUGGCGGCGUGCCUAAUACAUGCAAGUCGAGCGAACGGACGAGAAGCUUGCUUCUCUGAUGUUAGCGGCGGACGGGUGAGUAACACGUGGAUAACCUACCUAUAAGACUGGGAUAACUUCGGGAAACCGGAGCUAAUACCGGAUAAUAUUUUGAACCGCAUGGUUCAAAAGUGAAAGACGGUCUUGCUGUCACUUAUAGAUGGAUCCGCGCUGCAUUAGCUAGUUGGUAAGGUAACGGCUUACCAAGGCAACGAUGCAUAGCCGACCUGAGAGGGUGAUCGGCCACACUGGAACUGAGACACGGUCCAGACUCCUACGGGAGGCAGCAGUAGGGAAUCUUCCGCAAUGGGCGAAAGCCUGACGGAGCAACGCCGCGUGAGUGAUGAAGGUCUUCGGAUCGUAAAACUCUGUUAUUAGGGAAGAACAUAUGUGUAAGUAACUGUGCACAUCUUGA